GAGGGUAUAGCUCAGUGGUAGAGUGCGUGCUUAGCAUGCAUAAGGUCCUGAGUUCAAUCCCCAAUACCUCCA
Molecule: transfer RNA, 72 nt
Filed under: Camelus bactrianus (Bactrian camel)
Lineage: Eukaryota; Metazoa; Chordata; Mammalia; Artiodactyla; Camelidae
Also listed under: 2 other names
Rfam family: tRNA
About the family: Transfer RNA (tRNA) molecules are approximately 80 nucleotides in length. Their secondary structure includes four short double-helical elements and three loops (D, anti-codon, and T loops). Further hydrogen bonds mediate the characteristic L-shaped molecular structure. tRNAs have two regions of fundamental functional importance: the anti-codon, which is responsible for specific mRNA codon recognition, and the 3' end, to which the tRNAs corresponding amino acid is attached (by aminoacyl-tRNA synthetases). tRNAs cope with the degeneracy of the genetic code in two manners: having more than one tRNA (with a specific anti-codon) for a particular amino acid; and 'wobble' base-pairing, i.e. permitting non-standard base-pairing at the 3rd anti-codon position.
Source: Rfam by way of RNAcentral